UGUCUGAGCACAGAGGCUGACUUCCGAGUGACUUUUCUGAAGCGCUUUCCCAUUUACCUCCUGCGUUAAGCCUGGAUUCUCCACCUGCUUUGGGCACAUUCUGCCCAAGGCUACUGUGCAUCUUCCAAGGAGAGUGACUUGCUCUUUCAAACCGAAUUAUGUCAGAAUUGCCAACCAUCAGGUAAAGAGAGCUGAAGGCAGUCCGACCAGAGUCUUAAGUCAUUUCCACUGAAGUUGUUGAAGCACGUCAUGAGAUCAAGGCUCAGGGGCAUAUCAACCUCCACAAAUCUGAAUGGUAUUUCUGCGGAUGCAGGUUUCCUGAUGGAUUGCUCGUCAUGAAAAAGAUUGGAAAAAGGAUGCAUGCCUUCAGUGUAUAUUAGGACCUCUGUGAAUAAGGAGCUACGAAUUUUGUUUUCUUAAAUGAAGAAAAACACAAAGCCAACUGGGAACUGCUGAAGAGCAACGAGAUCUGAAGCGCUGCCAAAUCCAGCCUAGAAGAUAUUACCCUCUUUCUUUAUACUAUUGUUGUAACUCACUCUGUUUAAACUGUAUAAUCAGAACUCCUGUGGCACUUUUCAACUUUCUGGCUUUUCAGGCAUUUCAGGACACCUUCGAGUCAGUGGAAUUCUGCUUUGAAUGGUUGCUUCAG
Molecule: long non-coding RNA, 649 nt
Organism: Tachyglossus aculeatus (Australian echidna)
Lineage: Eukaryota; Metazoa; Chordata; Mammalia; Monotremata; Tachyglossidae
Exons: 5
Source: RefSeq, a predicted model, not a curated record